RNAcentral lists this unclassified non-coding RNA (353 nucleotides) under soil metagenome. Its description in RNAcentral is "partial contains 5.8S ribosomal RNA, internal transcribed spacer 2, and large subunit ribosomal RNA". The stretch from base 1 to 120 matches the Rfam family "5.8S ribosomal RNA", at positions 35 to 154 of the family's 154-position model. The record is from RNAcentral.
GAUGAAGAACGUAGCGAAAUGCGAUAAGUAAUGUGAAUUGCAGAAUUCAGUGAAUCAUCGAAUCUUUGAACGCACAUUGCGCCCGCGAGUAUUCUCGCGGGCAUGCCUGUCCGAGCGUCAUUUCAACCCUCAGGGCCCGCCUGCUUCGGCAGGCGCGGCGCUGGUGUUGGGGAUCGGCCUAACCGCCAUCCCCCAAAUACAGUGGCGGUCUCGCUGCAGCCUCCCCUGCGUAGUAGCAACACUCGCAUGCGGAGCGCGGCGCGGCCACGCCGUAAAACCCCCGACUUUCUGAACGUUGACCUCGGAUCAGGUAGGAAUACCCGCUGAACUUAAGCAUAUCAAUAAGCGGAGGA